GUGACAAUGUAUGGAAACUGAUACAUUUUUUUCUGUAAAUAGAAAGUUUUUCCUGAAUGUACAUUUACUUUUGAUAAAUUUAAUGUAUUUUUGCUAAAUAAAAGUAUUAAUAACUUUAAUAUAUAUAUAUAUACCCUAAAUGUUUGAAAGCUAGUGUAUUCAAACUUAUGUCAUAUUUGGCUUCAACACAUGCAAACCAUUUUCCACUAAAGAAAUCAAAUCUACUAUAAUAACCAUGUCAGUUUGCCCUUUUUUUUCUAAAUGUGAAUUAGAUUUCUGAGUGAACAACUUAAAUUUCAUUCUGUUCCACAUACAAAGCUAUCAUACAGCUUCAGAAGACAUGGAAUACAGUGCAUGGGUCUGGUUUUAUGGUGAUUUUUAUUGUCCUUUUUGGAGCUUGACUAUGAUGGCCCAGUAGUCCACAACAAAAUGAAAUAUGCACAACAAUGUAAUACUUGGCCUAAAUAAGGCAGGCUACACAAAUAAAACUUUCCUUUUACCCCUUUAAAAAGCUUGUUUGAAUGAGUGAAGACACAAUAAAUGCCACAGGUAUCAAGGUUGAAUGCCAAACCAAGGUGUGUUAAAUGAAUAGACACCGAAAAAUUUAUACAAUUUAUACAAAAAAUUAAUGAGCAUUCAUUCGAACUUUCUUUUAAAGUCCAAUGUUAUGUGUGUGUGUGUGCAUGUGUGUUUGUUUUGAGUUCAGCCUCACUGGUGAAGUAUACUGAGUCCAAGAGCAUGUAGAGGAACACCGCUGUCUUGUGACGAAAUCCAAGAUAAAUAGUCCAACAAAGUUCGGCUAUUCCACAAGGAGAAUCCCAAAAGUCACAGAAAAAAAAGAAAAAAAAAAGAAAAGAAAAAACAGCAGAGUGUAUGAGACGAUUGAUCGUUGAUUAUAUUCCAAAAUGAGCACCCUGAGCGUUGUUGCUAAACGCCGAUAAACAAAACGCUUUUUUUAUUGGAAGUGUAAAAUCUGCUGAUUCUCUAAUGAGAAAAACAGGGUCCAGCAUACAGUGUAUUUUAUUGGCCCUGUUUUACUUUUUAUUUCAGCUGGGCCCUCCCACUUGGGCGCUAGCUUGUCAGAGAAUUUGUUAGAGGCACUGGAAAGAGGAUGGGUUUUUGACCAAACUCAGUUACCCAUUUUUUCUAUGGUAAUAAUAAUACCUAGCUUGUUUGGCUUGGCUCAUCCUCAUCCUGUUUUUCACCUCCACCAGGAUGUUCUGUUGUUCCACCAGGGAAUACGCAGCCUGAUCAGGUGAAGGUGGUCGGUGGAUUAGGCGUUCCAGUGGUCCCAGCACUUGCCUACCCAGCAUGAGCUCCGCAGGUGUCUUCCCCACUCUUUCCGUCUGGGUGGUCUUAAUGGCAUAGCGGAAUUCUGGUAGCCACUGGUCCUAGGUUUGAUGUGGUUGUCCAACGUAGGCAGCAAUCAUUGUUUUUACAGUCCGAUUGAUUCUUUCAGUUAAUCUCUGAACACAACCCAAUGUCUUGCACAGAUCACCCAAAAUGCUGGAGGUGAACUGGGGACCCCUGUCGGACACCAGUUACUUAGGGACUCCCCAACGAGUAAAAAUCUCCUCGCAGAGGAUUUUCACUAUUUUCUUGGCAUCCCUAAGUGGAAACAUCUCCAUAAUCAACAAUGACAAGGAGGUAGGUGUUCUGUUUUUUUGCUGGUGAGGAAUAGACCCAUUAGAUCCAUCCCUAGGGUGUGUUCAGGCUCUGUUGUCAAGUGAUGAGAAGAAAUUGAGAGGCAAGUGGCAGCAUUAGUAAAAGGUGACUCGUAUACCCGGGUUAACACAUCUGGACCCAUGUUGAGGCAGCACUACCUGUGAUGGACUUGAAAGUUGAGUUGUUGCAGUCGGAGAGUGAGGCAUGAAGAGGUUUUGGGGCAGUUGAAGGCCCAGGCGCGUGCAGCAUGAUCCGUAAAGACAUCAAAUGACCUCCCUUCCAGGUAAUGACUCUCACUUUUCAACAGCCCGAACCACAGCUAGACAUUCAUUUUCAAAUGUACUAUAAUUUCUUUCUGCACCUGUUAAGGUCUGUGAAGCAUAUGCCACCACCUUUCCUCCUUCAGAAGAGUGUUGAGUGAGGAUAGGACCCAGUCCUACAUCGCUCGCAUCUAUGUGAAGGUUCUGUUGAUGUCUGUUUGGAUAAGUACUGGUGAGUUCCGUGAUGCUUGUUUAAGCAUCCAUGCUAUCUUGACACUCUGGAGUCCACUCCCACUUAACUCCUUUCUUUUUAAGGUGGUUUAGUGGAGCAGCAAUGUCAGUAAAGUGGGGUAUGAACUUAUGAUACCACCCUGCCAAGCCCAGAAAUCUUUGCAGAGCUUUAAGUUCCUGCAGUGGGGGGAACUCUGCAACAGCCCUGGUCUUCUCUCAGUCAAUCUCUACACCCCCUUCGGAGACUAUAUGGUCGAGGAACUUGAGCUGUUCUUUGAAGAAGUGGCAUUUCUUCAUAUUCAGGGUCAAGUUGGCCUGGGUAAAUUUAUGGAAGACAGUGUUGAGAGGUUGAAUGUGCUGCUAUAAUGUCUUUGAAUAGAUGAUGAUAUCAUCAAUUUAGACGAAACUGAUCUUCCCCCUCAAGUCAGCCAGAACUCUCUCCAUCAAACGCUGGAAGGUGGCUGCAGAGUUUCUGAGUCCAUAUGACAUAGAAUUGAAUUGAAAUAGCCCCUUGGUGGUAAUAAAAGUGGUCUUCUCUUUACUCGCCUCAUGCAUCUCCACUUGCCAGUAUCCGAACCGCAGAUCCAAUGCACUGAACCAGGAGGCACCUUCCAGGGAUUCUAGGAUGUCAUGAAUCAAAGGCAUUGGGUACAGUCUUGAGAGUGGGUCCCUUCAGGACUGUACUCAGAGUUCGGAUGAGCUCAACGCUGGGGAGUGGCCUAAUCUCCAGAAAGUUCUCACAUUGCUUGAUGAAGCACUUGAGCACUUCUGCAGUCUUACAGGAGUCCCCAAAAGAGGGGAACUCAAGGGAAUGGGAGACCGAGCACAAAAUGAGGAUGAGCCAGCCAUAACUGAGGAGGUAAGCACAUUAGGUGGGUGAGUAGUAAGUAGUAUUUUGAGCUUUAUGAGUUGGAACUUUCUCUUUAACAAGCAGCAUUGGGGUCUGUGGACAAUGGACAGGAGAAAUGUGUGAGGAAGCUGGUGAUUAGGCCUGUAAUCUGGAGAGUGUGGGAGUACUGGUAAAUCUUUUUUUUUUUACUUUCCCAUUUAGCAUCUCUCCUUGCAUUGUUUGUACCAUUCGAAUAUUUAAAGUACAACUCCCUUCAUCAUCAUCAGACUGUUCAGAAUCAGAAAUGUACAAUGACCUAAGCAUAUAUGUUUUUUUAAGCAGUAGGAUUUGCCUAGUUACAAAUGGGCCUGGUGUAAAAUCCACGUCUGGUUGUUCAACAUUCUCUUGGUCAUUUACAGGUGUACAUGGGUUAUCUGUAUUCACAGUGUUCACAACAUUGACAUCAGUAACUGGAUCAGUAUUAGGUACAUCCAUCCUGAUAAUUACACAAAUCCAAACAAACACAAAAAAAAGAGAUCCCCGUACGGGCCACCAACAUGUAACACUCGGCCUAAAUACACCAAUAUAUAACACUCAGCCUUUCCUUUUACCUCUUUAAAAAUCUUGUUUGAAUGAGUGAAUACCAUAGACUGUAUAAAAACAUGGACAUAGUGUCUGUGAUGUCACCCGUAGGUUUCUGAAGAGUGUUUUUGAAGCUCAUCUUGGCAGCGCGUCACUCCCAGAUUAUUGAAAAUGGGCAAAGAGGCGGGAGCUGGUUGCUGAAACCACACCCACCUAACUCGACGGUGUUGACAGCAGCGGCAAUCCACCUGUCAGUCAAGUGGCCACGCCCUUAAUUAUGUACAAAUUCACCUCUCUCACAGUUGUCAUGAAUGGCAAAAUUAGCUCAAUAAACCAGGCUGAAAAACAUAUUUUUUUGUGCUGUAAAGUUGGGCAUUUUGACAUGGGGAGUCUAUGGGACUGACUCCCAUUUGGAGCCAGCCUCUAGCGGCCGGUUGAUGAAUUGCAGUUUUAGUCACUUCCAUGUUGGUUUCAGAGAGAGAACGGCCCUGCUUUCCAUUCGGAAGGGCUCAUUCCUAUGCCCUAAUCCCUUCAAAGGGUUUACCCUCUGGAGUGAGAGCUUGAAGGGUUGAGGGUGUAGGGGACCAAACAACUGUUUCUUGAAGUGCCCUUCUGUGUCAUCAUGCAAAGAAUCUGGCAAAGAAUCAUGGGAGCCCGAAGUGUCCAUCAGUUGUACCCUCUGAAGUGGCCAGUUUUGAGCACUUCGGUUUGGAAUGACCAUUCAGUAUUGCAGCCAUGAUUGUUUCCACUCUGAAGUGCCCUUCGGAGGGCGAUAUAUCCCAUUUGGAAUGCACCGCCGAAGGUUGCCACUUGGUGAAUACACAAUAAACGCCACAGGUAUCAAGAUUGAAUGCCAACCCAAAGUGUAUUAAAUGAAAAGACACUGAAAAACGAUAUACAAUAUCUACAAUAAAUGAAUGGGUGUGCAUUUGUACUGUCCUUUAAAGUCCAAUGUUGUGUGCGUGUGUACGCUUGUGUGUGUUUUCGGUUAGGCCUCACCGGUGAAGCAUAUGGUC
Molecule: long non-coding RNA, 4583 nt
Organism: Cyprinus carpio carpio
Lineage: Eukaryota; Metazoa; Chordata; Actinopteri; Cypriniformes; Cyprinidae
Source: Ensembl